This 1033-nucleotide ribosomal RNA is filed under the name Speleonectes kakuki. Its description in RNAcentral is "partial large subunit ribosomal RNA". The stretch from base 673 to 1033 matches the Rfam family "Bacterial large subunit ribosomal RNA", at positions 2048 to 2625 of the family's 2925-position model. Lineage: Eukaryota; Metazoa; Arthropoda; Remipedia; Nectiopoda; Speleonectidae. The record is from RNAcentral.
UUUAUUCUUAUUGUCCCCGAAGUAAUAUUAGCUAUAUUAUUUUGUUUAGUGUUUGUUAAAUUAAGUUUAAGUAAACUAGUAUAGGUGUGAUAUGCUAGUCAUUUAUUAUUAUAUCUGGUUUUUUUGGAAAUAAAUUUAGUUUAGAUUUUUUUUAGGUUGUAUAAGUUUGUAUAUUUAAUGAUUUAUAAGAAGUUUAGUAGUAUAGGGUUGAGCUUGUACUUUGUUUUAUAAUUGUUUUGGUGAAAUGUUUUGUUUUGGGUUAGGUUUUGAAUUUGCUAUAGAUGUUGAGUCUGUUGUAAAAUAUUGUGUGUAUUAUAUUUAAUAUUUAGAUUGAGUACGAAAAUGAAUUGAUUUAUUUAUUAUUUUUUGUAAAUAUGCUUGAAUUAGUAGAGAAUUUUAUGUUUUUUUAUAAAUGUUGGAAGUUUUAUGGCGUUGUUUUGAUUAGUUAUAUGAAGGAACUUGGCAAAUUUAAUGUCUGCCUGUUUAAUAAAAACAUGGUCUUUUGUUGAUAUAAAAGGUCUGACCUGCCCACUGAAAUGUUUGGUUAAAGGGCUGCAGUAUUUUUGACUGUACAAAGGUAGCGUGGUAAUUUGUCUAUUAAUUGUUGACUUGAAUGAAUGGUUUGACGAGAUGUUAGCUGUCUCCAUUUAAUGAAUAUAAUUUAAAUUAAUUUUUUAGUGAAGAAGCUGAAAUGUUUUUAAGGGACGAAAAGACCCUAUAGAUUUUGAGUAUUAUCAAUUUGUUUAUAUUAGGUUUAGAUAGAUUUUUUGGUAAUAUUUUUGCUGGGGCGGCGAUUGAAGAUGUGAAUCUUCAGUUGGUUAGAAGCAUUGUUGGGUGUGGUGAUCUUGUGUUAUAAAUAAGAAGAAAAAAAUACCUUAGGGAUAACAGCGUUAUAGAUCUUGAGAGUUCUUAUCGACAGAUUUGUUUGCGACCUCGAUGUUGAAUUAGGAGUGGUAGUAGGUGGAAGGAUUUAAUUUACCAGGUCUGUUCGACCUUUGAAAUUCUACGUGAUCUGAGUUCAGACCGGAAUCAC